CAAUAAGCCUCCACUUGGUCAGUGUUUUGCUGAGGAGCACAGGAUGAGUUACCUAAACCUCGUGGCUGUGACACAGCUCCAUUGCAGUCACUUUCACUUCACCCUUGGCUCUGAUUUAAUCAAGAAUUUGAUUACACUGCAGGCAAACAGCAGCAGAAGGAGGAGGCACAAGGUGUGAAAUGGAACCAUUCAGACUCCAGAGGAAAGCCACCAUUUAGCAUUCAGGAUGAAAUUCUAGAGCAG
RNAcentral lists this long non-coding RNA (243 nucleotides) under Parus major (Great Tit). RNAcentral's name for it is "lncRNA (ENSPMJG00000011329.1)". The record is from RNAcentral. Lineage: Eukaryota; Metazoa; Chordata; Aves; Passeriformes; Paridae.